Callithrix jacchus (white-tufted-ear marmoset) is the source of this 140-nucleotide small nuclear RNA. Its record names the gene U4. It matches the Rfam family "U4 spliceosomal RNA". From Rfam's summary of the family: U4 small nuclear RNA (U4 snRNA) is a component of the major U2-dependent spliceosome. The structure of U4 snRNA from yeast and human has been reported. Lineage: Eukaryota; Metazoa; Chordata; Mammalia; Primates; Cebidae. The record is from Ensembl.
AGCUUUGCGCAGUGGCAGUAUCGUAGCCAAUGAGAUUUAUCCGAGGAGCGAUUAUUGCUAAUUGAAAAUUUUCCCAAUACCCUGUCUUGACGACUUGAAAUAUAGGUGGCAUUGGCAAUUUUUGACAGUUUCUACAGAGA